UAGUAAUCGCGGAUCAGCAUGCCGCGGUGAAUACGUUCCCGGGCCUUGUACACACCGCCCGUCACACCAUGGGAGUCGGUAACACCCGAAGUCAGUAGUCUAACCGCAAGGAGGACGCUGCCGAAGGUGGGAUUGAUGACUGGGGUGAAGUCGUAACAAGGUAUC
RNAcentral lists this ribosomal RNA (165 nucleotides) under uncultured bacterium. RNAcentral's name for it is "partial 16S ribosomal RNA". It matches the Rfam family "Bacterial small subunit ribosomal RNA", at positions 1336 to 1500 of the family's 1533-position model. The record is from RNAcentral.